ACUCUUAAGGCUGAGACACGACGUCGAGCUACUACGGUAGUGAAGUCAUUGAUGCCAUGCUUCCAGGAAAAGCCUCUAAGCUUCAGAUUGUAAGGAAUCGUACCCCAAACCGACACAGGUGGUCGGGUAGAGAAUACCAAGGCGCUUGAGAGAACUCGGGUGAAGGAACUAGGCAAAAUGGUACCGUAACUUCGGGAGAAGGUACGCUCUUGAUGGUGAAGUCCCUUGCGGAUGGAGCUGACGAGAGUCGCAGAUACCAGGUGGCUGCAACUGUUUAUUAAAAACACAGCACUGUGCAAAAUCGUAAGAUGACGUAUACGGUGUGACGCCUGCCCGGUGCCGGAAGGUUAAUUGAUGGGGUUAGCGUAAGCGAAGCUCUUGAUCGAAGCCCCGGUAAACGGCGGCCGUAACUAUAACGGUCCUAAGGUAGCGAAAUUCCUUGUCGGGUAAGUUCCGACCUGCACGAAUGGCGUAAUGAUGGCCACGCUGUCUCCACCCGAGACUCAGUGAAAUUGAAAUCGCUGUGAAGAUGCAGUGUACCCGCGGCUAGACGGAAAGACCCCGUGAACCUUUACUACAGCUUGGCACUGAACAUUGAACCUACAUGUGUAGGAUAGGUGGGAGGCUUUGAAGACGUGACGCCAGUUGCGUUGGAGCCGUCCUUGAAAUACCACCCUUGUAUGUUUGAUGUUCUAACGUUGGCCCCUAAUCGGGGUUGCGGACAGUGCCUGGUGGGUAGUUUGACUGGGGCGGUCUCCUCCCAAAGAGUAACGGAGGAGCACGAAGGUGGGCUAAUCACGGUUGGACAUCGUGAGGUUAGUGCAAUGGCAUAAGCCCGCUUAACUGCGAGAAUGACGGUUCGAGCAGGUGCGAAAGCAGGUCAUAGUGAUCCGGUGGUUCUGAAUGGAAGGGCCAUCGCUCAACGGAUAAAAGGUACUCCGGGGAUAACAGGCUGAUACCGCCCAAGAGUUCAUAUCGACGGCGGUGUUUGGCACCUCGAUGUCGGCUCAUCACAUCCUGGGGCUGAAGUCGGUCCCAAGGGUAUGGCUGUUCGCCAUUUAAAGUGGUACGCGAGCUGGGUUUAGAACGUCGUGAGACAGUUCGGUCCCUAUCUGCCGUGGGCGUUGGAAGAUUGAAGGGGGCUGCUCCUAGUACGAGAGGACCGGAGUGGACGAACCUCUGGUGUUCGGGUUGUGUCGCCAGACGCAUUGCCCGGUAGCUAAGUUCGGAAUCGAUAACCGCUGAAAGCAUCUAAGCGGGAAGCGAGCCCUGAGAUGAGUCUUCCCUGAUACUUUAAGUAUCCU
This 1304-nucleotide ribosomal RNA is filed under the name Vibrio vulnificus. RNAcentral's name for it is "partial 23S ribosomal RNA". It matches the Rfam family "Bacterial large subunit ribosomal RNA", at positions 1546 to 2829 of the family's 2925-position model. The record is from RNAcentral. Lineage: Bacteria; Pseudomonadati; Pseudomonadota; Gammaproteobacteria; Vibrionales; Vibrionaceae.